This is a small nuclear RNA of Rhincodon typus (whale shark), 106 nucleotides long. NCBI's taxonomy places the organism in Eukaryota, Metazoa, Chordata, Chondrichthyes, Orectolobiformes, Rhincodontidae. The record is from RefSeq and is a predicted model, not a curated record.
GUUGCAAUAGUUGAGGCCUGACACUGAAACUGGAACAAUACAAAGAAGAUUAGCAUGGCCCCUGUUCAAGUAUGACACAUGAAGCCAUGUGGUGUUCCAUUAAAAA